GGGUGACCUCCUGGGAAGUCCUCGUGUUGCAUCGCC
Molecule: ribosomal RNA, 36 nt
Filed under: Epimedium acuminatum
Lineage: Eukaryota; Viridiplantae; Streptophyta; Magnoliopsida; Ranunculales; Berberidaceae
Source: RNAcentral